UACGAAGGGUGCAAGCGUUACUCGGAAUUACUGGGCGUAAAGGGUGCGUAGGUGGUUUUUUAAGUCCGUUGUGAAAUCCCUGGGCUCAACCUGGGAAUGGCAGUGGAUACUGGAAAGCUAGAGUGCGGUAGAGGGUAGUGGAAUUCCCGGUGUAGCAGUGAAAUGCGUAGAUAUGCGGAGGAACACCGAUGGCGAAGGCAAUCCCCUGGGCCUGCACUGACGCUCAUGCACGAAAGCGUGGGGAGCAAACAGG
RNAcentral lists this ribosomal RNA (253 nucleotides) under uncultured bacterium. RNAcentral's name for it is "partial 16S ribosomal RNA". It matches the Rfam family "Bacterial small subunit ribosomal RNA", at positions 524 to 776 of the family's 1533-position model. The record is from RNAcentral.